Molecule: ribosomal RNA, 289 nt
Filed under: uncultured bacterium
Lineage: Bacteria
Description: partial 16S ribosomal RNA
Rfam family: Bacterial small subunit ribosomal RNA
Source: RNAcentral
GUGGAUUAGAUACCCUGGUAGUCCAUGCCGUAAACGUUGGGCGCUAGGUGUGGGGUCCAUUCCACGGAUUCCGUGCCGCAGCUAACGCAUUAAGCGCCCCGCCUGGGGAGUACGGCCGCAAGGCUAAAACUCAAAGGAAUUGACGGGGGCCCGCACAAGCGGCGGAGCAUGCGGAUUAAUUCGAUGCAACGCGAAGAACCUUACCAAGGCUUGACAUGCGCGGUGGAAUCCCAGAGAUGGGGUGUCAUUUAGUUGGUCGCGUACAGGUGGUGCAUGGCCGUCGACAGCU